AGCAGCCGCGGUAAUUCCAGCUCCAAUAGCGUAUAUUAAAGUUGUUGCAGUUAAAAAGCUCGUAGUUGAAUUUCGGGAUCAGUACGCUGGUCGUGCCUUCGGUAUGCACUGGUUUCACUGAUUCCUCCCUUCUGAAGAACCGUAAUGCCAUUCAGUUGGUGUGGCGGGGAAUCAGGAUUGUUACUUUGAAAAAUUAGAGUGUUUAAAGCAGGCUCGCGCUUGAAUACAUUAGCAUGGAAUAAUGAAAUAGGACGUUUGAUCCUAUUUUGUUGGUUUCUAGGAUUGACGUAAUGAUUAAUAGGGAUAGUUGGGGGCAUUAGUAUUCAAUUGUCAGAGGUGAAAUUCUUGGAUUUAUUGAAGACUAACUACUGCGAAAGCAUUUGCCAAGGAUGUUUUCAUUAAUCAAGAACGAAAGUUAGGGGAUCGAAGACGAUCAGAUACCGUCGUAGUCUUAACCAUAAACUAUGCCGACUAGGGAUCGGAUGAUGUUAAUUUUUAAUGACUCAUUCGGCGUCCG
RNAcentral lists this ribosomal RNA (517 nucleotides) under uncultured Glomus. RNAcentral's name for it is "SSU rRNA". It matches the Rfam family "Eukaryotic small subunit ribosomal RNA", at positions 569 to 1089 of the family's 1831-position model. Lineage: Eukaryota; Fungi; Glomeromycota; Glomeromycetes; Glomerales; Glomeraceae. The record is from RNAcentral.